UACGUAGACAUCACUGCACCAGAUUAUAAACUUGCCAUACUUCGCCGCUUCAAAAUUUAUACAUUUCUCCACUACAAUAAUUCAAAUUACGCCAAACUUCGUAGAUCUGCCUACAGUCGCAUAGAGACUCCGAUCGAUCACAUACAUUGCUUCUUUAGUUUAUCCGAAGCUUAAAGAAGCUCUCAUCAAUGCCGUUGCUAUCAGCUGACGGAGAAUUCAAUCUUACGCAAUCUUCUCAUUCUCAGCCUACUUUCACAAUGGGGGAGUACACAUUUGCGGAUGCGGGGAAUUUGGACCAUUGUGCUAAGUACUUGAACCAAUCGCUUGUUACGUACGGAUUUCCAGCUUCUCUGGAUCUUUUUGCAAAUGAUCCUGUUUCCAUCGCACGGACUUGCAAUUGCAUAUACUUCUUGCUUCAGCAGAGACAGCGUGAUGUUGAAUUUAGAGAUUCUGCUAAUGAACAAAGACAACGACUGUUAUCCGAUAUAUCAAGAUUGGAGGCCAAAGUUGAGAGACUUGAAGGACAGCUGCAAGCCAAAGACAGGGAGAUAGCAACAAUUACUAGAACGGAAGCUAAGAACACAUCAGCUCUCAAGGCCCAAAUUGAAAAGCUACAACAAGAACGGGAUGAAUUUCAAAAGAUGGUUCUUGGUAAUCAGCAAGUAAGAACUCAACAAAUGCAUGAGAUGAAGAAGAAGGAAAAGGAGUACAUAAAGUUACAAGAGAGGUUAAACCAAGUAUUGAUGGAGAAGAAGAAGGAAUCUAGGUCAGGCAUGGAAAUAAUGAAUUUGCUUCAGAAAGAAGGGAGGCAACGUGGAACAUGGAAUGGAAAGAAGGCUGACAAUGAUUUUUAUAAAAAGAUUGUGGAUGCUUAUGAAGCGAAAAAUCAAGGACUGGUGGCUGAGAAUGCUGAUUUGAGAGCCUUGCUGAGAUCAAUGCAGGAGGAUAUGCGUGAGUUCUUAAAUGCUCCCAAUGGACCCUCAAAGCAAUCGCUAGCUGCCAAUGAAAAAGGUGAAAGCGAUCCUUCACGAUCUCCAUUGGUUGGGAGGACGGACGUGUUUGACCUACCUUUUCACAUGGCCAGAGAUCAAAUAGAAGAAAGUCUUCGUAACAAGAUGUCUUCAAUAAAGGAGCGCAUGGUUCAAUUGCAAGAUGCUCAGAAAGGAGCAGAAGUUUCCUCAGAAGCAACUGAAAGGGAACUUGAGCUUGAAGCUCAACUUGUUGAAGCAAGGAGCAUCAUACAGGAACAGGCUUCCAUAAUGUCCAAACAUCUUGCAAAGUCUGAGAGGCCGAGGCAAUCUGUCAUCUCAUCCCCUGCUGAGGCAGUGUGUAACUAGGAAAGCUGGGGCACAACUAGUUUAGUUCUUGACACGAUUAAUCAAGUCAACAGUGUCAGCAUGUCUAACUAACCAAUCUUGCUCUUGAUUGUGUUAACAAGCCCACUCGAGGCUGAGAUGUUCUGGUAAAAUUCACGACGCAAUUGAGUGGGAUAAAUGAAUAGUGUGAGAGACUAUUUGGAGUUUAGUUACUCAUUUUUUAUAAUAUAUAUAUAUAUAUAUAUUUUAAAGAAACAGACAAAUGUCAUGUAUGAUAUACUUCCUGUGGUCCAAAAUAUAA
RNA transcript from Prosopis cineraria, 1617 nucleotides. RefSeq lists it as uncharacterized. The transcript has 16 exons. The record is from RefSeq and is a predicted model, not a curated record. NCBI's taxonomy places the organism in Eukaryota, Viridiplantae, Streptophyta, Magnoliopsida, Fabales, Fabaceae.